ACACUUGCGUCAUUGCUGCGUUUAAGCUUUCUCUGUCCCCUUUAGCUUAGUUCCUGUUAGGAGUCCCUGCUUAACCCUCCUCUGCCAGGAUGCAGUCAGCGUCCUCACAUGAGAUGAAACCUUGGAUACAGACCGUUAGAAAAUGGGCCGCUAAAGGAGAAGCCACAAAUGGCCUUUGUUUCACCGAGGGUCCUGACAGCAGCUGCCCAGGCCGGUCAUCCCAGCUACUCAGGAAGUUGAGGUCUCAGAACAAGAAGAGUUGGAAGACGUCGAGUGGUGGGACUCGGAAGAACUUCAGUCAUUCAUUAAAUUGUCGCUUUUCCCAAGGGAAUGUUCUGGAAACCAUAAUCAUUAACACUGUGCAGGGCUCUGCAGCCUAUCAAGUGGAUACUGGGCUCUGCUUCCUUGGUUUAUCCCCUGGGGGUAUGGGAUGGGCAUAGUGUGGUCAAGGUCUGGAGUCUGGGUAGCACAUGGCAUGACCUGGACACAACCUAGCGUGACCUCAGAGCUGCGUCCUGGUGCAGGGCUGUGGGUGGUGUUCUCAACACCCAGCCCUCUCCUAUCCACUUGUCUGAAACGCUCUGGUCUUUGUGAUUUCAGCCCACCUUGGUCGGCCCUGACUUGAAGGACCCAGGGCAUGUGCCACUAACUGCCCACUCCCAAGAAAAGCUCAAAGUUGGAGACAGGAACAGCAACAUAGUCUCUGCUUCCCUGGGGAUUCAGACUCAAGAGGACAUGGCCCAGUCGUCUUCUCAUCCCCACCCUGCCCAGCCUGAAACGGUGUCUGACUGACAUUCAUCGAUGGAGCAGACUAAGAAUUCAAAUGUCAAGGACCCCAGGAGUAUCCUGCAACCACACAGCAACACACGUGAUAUCUAGCGUAGCCUCCCAGACACUGGCUGGUGGUCUGUAUGAUACUGGAUGUUCCAAAGCCUCUGUGAACAGACACAAAGGUAGAGGUCACUGGCCUCUAUUGCUAAUGUCCUCCCAUACACCUUUGAUCCACUCUAGAACCUUCUAGCAGGCCUGCUUCCUUCCUAGGAACUGUCUCUGGCUUCUUGCCAGCAAUUAGUCAGGACACUGUCGGCAAAACUGCCCUUCAGCAAUUAGUCUGGACUUAAGUUGUUUUCGAAAGAUGAAUUUAGAAGUAAUUUUCCAAUUAACAGCGGUUGUCAAAUAAAGGGGGGACAAAGUCUCCGUCUGGGCCCAGACAAGUCCAUGGUGUGGCAGUCUGGAAGCUCUUGAGGGGCCUGGGUGAUGAAUGCAGAGCUGGUGGCCUAGGAACCAAUUAGCUGUGGCUUCUGUUGCUCAUGGGGGAGCAGCACAGAGCAGAGUGGGCCUGCCUGGAGUGGAGUUCAGAUGGGGCAAGCCGCGGCAGCUGAGCUAGCAGAGCAGAUGAAGGGAUGUGCUCCAGAACUCCUGGGUUCCUAGCCCGUCACAGUGUGCAUCUUCGUUUGAUGGAACACUUCUGAGUUUGCGUUCCUGAUGCCUGGGUUAAAAGACGUAAUAGCUACCAAUGUCUGUUCUAGACAAUAAAGCCUAAAGGCUCAGGGUCGGUGGAGGGUGUUUGUCGUGGGGCUGACAUCCACUGGGGGACUUUUGUUCGGAGUAGUUACUCUCUGCAGAACUGUCACAAGGCGCUUUGUGUCGUUUUCUUCUGCAGUUAUUUGUGUGAUUCCUGGUUCCCUCUUCCUACCCCAGCACAGAGGCCUGAACUUAGCUGCUCUCAUGAGCCAGGCAAGCCUCCUCCCCCUGAACGACUCCUCAGCUCUUUUUAAACUUUGGGUUUGAAACAGGAGCUCACCAGAUCACCUAGACAGGCCGUAAACAAUCCCUCUGCCUCAGCCUCCCAGGUAGCUUGGGUGACAGGCCUGUGCCACUGGGCCUAGCUGUGAUACUGCUUCCUUAACGGUCUUGUGUUGAUGUCACAGGACAACCAAUGCCACAGAGAGCCUGGAGGAGGGGAUCAUCUUGGUGCUGAUUCUUGGCUCUGGGCCUGGCUGGCAGUUCAGGCCUCCAGAUGCCUGCUCCUUUCAGGUCUCUGUGGGGAACUAACCAGACAUAAAGGGCACUGGGACAUCCAGAAAGGACUAGUUGUUUUUUUUAUUUGAGAACAAAAGUACCAUCUCUUUAAGGAGACAGAUGCCAGUCUGCCACCCCAGAUACUCUGUCCCUUGUAGCUACUGCUAAAGAUCCUUUCCAAACGGUCAAAGUCUGAAAGGCUUGUCCUAACCCCACUACAACAUUGGACUUGAACCGUCUUGAGCCUCAAGUCUCUUUAUCAGCAGACUAAAAAGACACUUCAGUUGUGGGAGUACCUCUUAGUUCUUGUCCUCAAAGAAGGAAAGAAUUCAACCAAGAGACGGAUGUGAAUUAAGCAGCAGUUUACACAAUAAAGCUAAAUAUAACAAACAGAGAGACUGGCAUAUGCUUUCCCAAGGCAGGGAGCAGCCCAGUGAGCUGCUAAGUGGUUUUCAAGCAAUGCAUUGUUAAGUGAUGAACUGCAAAGACGUUUCUGGGGACAUCUCUGAGGUGGGUAGCAUCUUCUGGGGGGAAGGUGUUGAUUAUAGCCAGGCAGAUGCCUCCUUGCCUCAUGUCCUGUGGUUUUCCCUUCUCCAGCCUUUACCCACACUCUUGUCCAGCUGUUGUGUGACUUCUCUGGGGAGAUGUGAACAUAUGUCUCCUCCCUCCAGAGAGAGGAUCUGACAAGUCCAACUUAGUGAGCU
Myodes glareolus (Bank vole) is the source of this 2726-nucleotide non-coding RNA. The record is from RefSeq and is a predicted model, not a curated record. NCBI's taxonomy places the organism in Eukaryota, Metazoa, Chordata, Mammalia, Rodentia, Cricetidae.